GGGUUAAAAUUGAAAAAAAAUGUUACAUAAAAACAGUUUGUAAGAUUUUCUAACAGCAUAUAUGCAAAGUAUUUUGAUUUAUUUGAAAAUAAUUGAAAAUAGAUUUUUCAAGGACGGUGUCAAGGUCACGGGGUCGGUGUCGUUUUUCGAAAUUUGUUAACUUAAUAUAAUAGAAGAUGUUUCGUUUUAAAUUAAGAAAUGUUAAAAUUAUUAAGUUAAAAACAUUUGAUUUUAAUGACACUUAAAAUUAGACACAAUAUUAUAGGUUACUAACUAAAAAUUGAAAAAACAACAAUAAAUAAUAAAAAAAUAAUAAUAAAAAAUUGAAAAAAUCAAAAAAUUCUUAAAAAAUUGCAAAAUGACCCUUUUUUGGGUUAAAAUUGAAAAAAAUGUUACAUAAAAAUAGUUUGUAAGAUUUUCUAACAGCAUAUAUGCAAAGUAUUUUGAUUUAUUUGAAAAUAAUUGAAAAUAGAUUUUUCAAGGACGGUGUCGAGGUCACGGGGUCGGUGUCGUUUUUCGAAAUUUGUUAACUUAAUAUAAUAGAAGAUGUUUCGUUUUAAAAUAAGAAAUGUUAAAAUUAUUAAGUUAAAAACAUUUGAUUUUAAUGACACUUAAAAUUAGACACAAUAUUAUAGGUUACUAACUAAAAAUUGAAAAAACAACAAUAAAUAAUAAAAAAUAAUAAUAAAAAAUUGAAAAAAUCAAAAAAUUCUUAA
Leptopilina boulardi is the source of this 716-nucleotide long non-coding RNA. RefSeq lists it as uncharacterized. The transcript has 3 exons. The record is from RefSeq and is a predicted model, not a curated record. Lineage: Eukaryota; Metazoa; Arthropoda; Insecta; Hymenoptera; Figitidae.